UACGAAGGGGGCGAGCGUUGUUCGGAUUUACUGGGCGUAAAGGGCGCGCAGGCGGCGGACCAAGUCAGGCGUGAAAGCCCCGGGCUUAACCUGGGAGGUGCGUCUGGGACUGGUACGCUAGAGUUCGGGAGAGGAGAGUGGAAUUCCCAGUGUAGAGGUGAAAUUCGUAGAUAUUGGGAAGAACACCGGUGGCGAAGGCGGCUCUCUGGACCGAGACUGACGCUGAGGCGCGAAAGCGUGGGGAGCAAACAGG
RNAcentral lists this ribosomal RNA (253 nucleotides) under uncultured bacterium. RNAcentral's name for it is "partial 16S ribosomal RNA". It matches the Rfam family "Bacterial small subunit ribosomal RNA", at positions 524 to 776 of the family's 1533-position model. The record is from RNAcentral.